GAUGAACGCUAGCUACAGGCUUAACACAUGCAAGUCGAGGGGCAGCAUGACCUAGCAUUAGGUUGAUGGCGACCGGCGCACGGGUGAGUAACACGUAUCCAACCUGCCGAUUAUUCCGGGAUAGCCUUUCGAAAGAAAGAUCAAUACUGGAUAGCAUAACGAGAAGGCAUCUUCUUGUUAUUAUAGAAUUUCGAUAAUCGAUGGGGAUGCGUUCCAUUAGUUUGUUGGCGGGGUAACGGCCCACCAAGACAUCGAUGGAUAGGGGUUCUGAGAGGAAGGUCCCCCACAUUGGAACUGAGACACAGUCCAAACUCCUACGGGAGGCAGCAGUGAGGAAGAUUGGUCAAUGGACGAGAGUCUGAACCAGCCAAGUAGCGUGAAGGAGGACUGCCCUAUGGGUUGUAAACUUCUUUUAUAUGGGAAUAAAGUGGGCCACGUGUGGCUUUUUGUAUGUACCAUACGAAUAAGGAUCGGCUAACUCCGUG
RNAcentral lists this ribosomal RNA (485 nucleotides) under uncultured bacterium. Its description in RNAcentral is "partial 16S ribosomal RNA". It matches the Rfam family "Bacterial small subunit ribosomal RNA", at positions 28 to 507 of the family's 1533-position model. The record is from RNAcentral.